AAGUUCAGGUUGCCCAAACCAAGGGCCUUCAAAGCCCUAAACAGGAGCACCACUCUCCUAACUUCU
This 66-nucleotide transfer RNA is filed under the name Cyrtodactylus ywanganensis. Its description in RNAcentral is "tRNA-Trp". The record is from RNAcentral. Lineage: Eukaryota; Metazoa; Chordata; Lepidosauria; Squamata; Gekkonidae. RNAcentral also lists the same sequence under 2 other names.